Molecule: long non-coding RNA, 2415 nt
Organism: Triticum aestivum (bread wheat)
Lineage: Eukaryota; Viridiplantae; Streptophyta; Magnoliopsida; Poales; Poaceae
Exons: 2
Source: RefSeq, a predicted model, not a curated record
CGAGGCAAAAAAAAAAAAAACGACGCACACGCACGCUCCACCUAGACGCGACGCGACCCUAAGCUAGCGCGGCGGCGCCUGGCCAGGUCGCGAGGACCAGGCGAGCGAUCGACGACGGCGGCAGCAGGCUGGGGCUUAGAGGGCUGCGGCAGCAAGCUCCAACGGCGGCUCCAGCGAAAGCAGCAAGCUCCAGCGGGCGACGACAGUUGGGUAUUUUCCUGGUAAUUACCCAGGGUCCGAACCAGAGGACUAAUUGCAGCCACUUUGUUAGUUGUGUCCAGAUUACUAGAAGAUGGAUAGAAAGGGGAAUGGAUUAGCAAAUCCAAAGAAAAGGGAAAGAGGUAAUUUCUGAAAUUUUGUAGUAAUUUCUCAUUGAGUUGGCUAUGCUUUCUACCGGUAGCGACGGCAACAAUUGAAAGGGCCUUCUCAUCAAUGAAAAUCAUCAAGACUGAGUUGCGCAGCAAGAUGACCGAUGGUUGGCUUAAUGGCUUGAGGUUUGUUAUAUUGAGCGAGAGAUCUUCAAAAGUAUUGGUCUUGGUAAAAUUAAGAAAGAUUUUCAGAAAUGAGGGUAGGGCAUUGCCAUUGCCUGGGUCAUUGAGCCGCCAUUGAAAGCUUUAUUAUCGUUAUGUUUUAAGUUGUUUUCCUAUUGAAACAUGCCUACAUUUUUAUUGUAUUUAGUUUUUCGGUUGUAAUCUGUAUUGACUCUUUCGAUUUGCAUCAAAAGAAUUCUUUCCUUAAGACUUCGCCACACCUUAAAUUUUUUUCGUCCUCCGCCUCUGAGGCCAGACAUACAUUGCCUCUAAUUUCUUCUGAUCCAAAUCUGAUGCACAAAAGCUAAAAAAAAGGGCAUUGACAAAAAGAAUCAAAGAUGCCACCAGAAGAGUACACUUGGUAACUUCAAAAAAAAAAAAAAAGAAGAAGAGUACACUUGGUUUAACUAUCACAUUCACAUGGCAGCAAAUUCAACGUAAGCAUUUUUGCGAUUUUGUACUGGAUCGUUACAUUACUUGACCCACGACACGAUUCAUUCAAGAAUUGUGGGAACUUGCGCGGAUGGUAAGUUAACGAGUCACUGACUCAAAGUGGUAGAGAUCGUAACACGAUGCUAUGCUCCUAGACAUAGUUCAAGCUGAACUGUAAGCAAAUGAACCUUAUAUGCGUUCUGGCGCCAUCCUUCUAUACCCUUUGUGAAAUGGAGCCGUAGACCUUUCUGUGAUGUGGUACCCUACUGGUUCCGCCUUAGCUAUCUAUCUAUGGUGUAGUGCAGGUGAGCUUGAUCACUCUGCAGUUUCGGUGAUGAGCUCCUUGAGUACCUGUUUUAGGCCACUCAUCUUCUUCCGGGCUCUCUGCGAACCAUUUCCGUGGAAAAGGUUAGCAUUUGAUCAAUACUGGCAUCCCUGGGGUUUAGGAAUGAUGUUUGACUUACCUUCUGAACCUCCGAGAUUUUGGUUUCGGCGUCCUUGAGCUGAGAAUCAACUGUUCUCUCGGCAUGUUGGAGGAGCUUCUUGUGUGAUGCUCCUGUUGAUGCAAUCAUAAAACAACACCAUGGUUAAGUGGUAAUCCUGGUGGCAAACGGUUAGAAAAACAGAGCAUUUAAACAGAUUUCUUCAAGUGGCUGUAUGGUUAUAUAUUCCAUUUGCCUCUUAAAAAUGAUAACAGUGAGCUAAAACUAUAAUUACUUCACUGCUGACUAUUUCUUCUAAUCAUGUGCCAAUGUAGAUUGGACGAUCAUUCUUUUUCAAUUAAAAACCAUCUGAUUUAACCACAUUAUUCAGCAACAAACGUCAAACCUUACAAUGUUGGAAUCUUAUGUGCCUGGGUCAGAUGACAUAAAGUUUGCAAUCUGUAAUCAAACUGCUCCAAUGGUGAUACUUCAUAAGGCUCCGUUUUGACAAAGGUUAACAUGAUUCCACAUUUUUGGGAGUUCAUGCAGUAUCAGUUUGCAAUAAAUAGUCCAGCAAGUAAAAUAUUGCAUUUGCAUUUUGCAAGUGUAUGGUUUCAAGUUAAACUUACUUUGCUUGUCAGCUGCUCCCUUAAGUUCUGCAUGAUAGGCUUCAAAUUCCUCAAGCGAGUUCUUGCAACCAAGCAACUGCUGAUUAACCUCCUCCUUAAACUUCUCAUGAAGAACCCUUAACUGUUCUUGUUGCUCUGAAACAGGAAGACAUAGGACCAGGUAUAUCAUUUGAGUAACUAACGUUUAUUCAAGAGAAACAACAGAAGACAUGCAAGAAAACAAGGUAAAGUAUAAGGAUUCCCCAAAGGAAUCUUGCGACAAAUGUGCCUUGCUAACCAAACAGGCGACUAGCCUGGUCAAACAUACCUAACUUCUGGUGUGGCAUGGUUAGCAUACCAACCAAACAGGCUCUAAGCCUAAAUAUAUGCAUACACAGUAAAAAAUCCAAAGGGUAGAAGAUA